RNAcentral lists this long non-coding RNA (240 nucleotides) under Selaginella moellendorffii. RNAcentral describes it as "long non-coding RNA (SMOE_LNC000408)". The record is from RNAcentral. Lineage: Eukaryota; Viridiplantae; Streptophyta; Lycopodiopsida; Selaginellales; Selaginellaceae.
GGGAGAGUUUACUCCAAGAAGCCUCCAAAUGUGGCUAUGGGAGAUCGGAUUAUCAUAGAAAGGAAAGCCAUGAAAGAAAAAUAGGAGAGAAGAGAGAGAUGGUAAAAUCUUAAGAAUGAGAUCGUCCGGAAUUUUUCGCCCGCCAGACAAGAAGACUUUACGCGCGCGCCAGCCAUUCUUGAAGAAUCCAUCCUUGUCACUAUAUUCGCGCUAUAUCCAACGGCCAGCGCUACUUCUCCA